This 449-nucleotide ribosomal RNA is filed under the name uncultured Allobrachymonas sp. RNAcentral's name for it is "bacterial SSU rRNA". It matches the Rfam family "Bacterial small subunit ribosomal RNA", at positions 927 to 1382 of the family's 1533-position model. The record is from RNAcentral. Lineage: Bacteria; Pseudomonadati; Pseudomonadota; Betaproteobacteria; Burkholderiales; Comamonadaceae.
AAGCGGUGGAUGAUGUGGUUAAUUCGAUGCAACGCGAAAACCUUACCCACCUUUGACAUGGCAGGAAUCCCGAAGAGAUUUGGGAGUGCUCGAAAGAGAACCUGCACACAGGUGCUGCAUGGCUGUCGUCAGCUCGUGUCGUGAGAUGUUGGGUUAAGUCCCGCAACGAGCGCAACCCUUGCCAUUAGUUGCUACGAAAGGGCACUCUAAUGGGACUGCCGGUGACAAACCGGAGGAAGGUGGGGAUGACGUCAAGUCCUCAUGGCCCUUAUAGGUGGGGCUACACACGUCAUACAAUGGCCGGUACAGAGGGUAGCCAACCCGCGAGGGGGAGCCAAUCCCACAAAGCCGGUCGUAGUCCGGAUCGCAGUCUGCAACUCGACUGCGUGAAGUCGGAAUCGCUAGUAAUCGCGGAUCAGCAUGUCGCGGUGAAUACGUUCCCGGGUCUU